RNAcentral lists this ribosomal RNA (253 nucleotides) under uncultured bacterium. RNAcentral describes it as "partial 16S ribosomal RNA". It matches the Rfam family "Bacterial small subunit ribosomal RNA", at positions 524 to 776 of the family's 1533-position model. The record is from RNAcentral.
UACGUAGGAGGCGAGCGUUGUCCGGAGUUACUGGGCGUAAAGGGUGCGCAGGUGGCCGUGCGCGUGGGGAGUGAAAUCGCCUGGCUUAACUGGGCGGGGGCUUUCCAGACGGCGCGGCUUGAGCCACAGAGGGGGGCGUGGAAUUCCGGGUGGAGCGGUGAAAUGCGUAGAUAUUGGGAGGAACACCAGUGGCGAAGGCGGCUCACUGGACCGGUUCUGACGCUGAGGCGCGAAAGCGUGGGGAGCAAACGGG